Molecule: ribosomal RNA, 497 nt
Filed under: uncultured bacterium
Lineage: Bacteria
Description: partial 16S ribosomal RNA
Rfam family: Bacterial small subunit ribosomal RNA
Source: RNAcentral
GAUGAACGCUGGCGGCGUGCCUAAUACAUGCAAGUCGAGCGAACGGACGAGAAGCUUGCUUCUCUGAUGUUAGCGGCGGACGGGUGAGUAACACGUGGAUAACCUACCUAUAAGACUGGGAUAACUUCGGGAAACCGGAGCUAAUACCGGAUAAUAUUUUGAACCGCAUGGUUCAAAAGUGAAAGACGGUCUUGCUGUCACUUAUAGAUGGAUCCGCGCUGCAUUAGCUAGUUGGUAGGGUAACGGCUUACCAAGGCAACGAUGCAUAGCCGACCUGAGAGGGUGAUCGGCCACACUGGAACUGAGACACGGUCCAGACUCCUACGGGAGGCAGCAGUAGGGAAUCUUCCGCAAUGGGCGAAAGCCUGACGGAGCAACGCCGCGUGAGUGAUGAAGGUCUUCGGAUCGUAAAACUCUGUUAUUAGGGAAGAACAUAUGUGCAAGUAACUGUGCACAUCUUGACGGUACCUAAUCAGAAAGCCACGGCUAACUACGUG